Felis catus (domestic cat) is the source of this 4888-nucleotide RNA transcript. It is a transcript of the gene named transport and Golgi organization protein 1 homolog, with no coding region annotated. Lineage: Eukaryota; Metazoa; Chordata; Mammalia; Carnivora; Felidae. The record is from RefSeq and is a predicted model, not a curated record. The transcript has 16 exons.
UUGUGGCCUCGCUUGUUCUGAAUGCCUUUCCCCCACACCACUCUGUGUAGGGACGUGGCUUUUUAGAAGGCAGCAGGGCCUGGAUUUUGAUGCAGACACUGUCAGUGAUGGGACUGUGCUGCCGCUUUGUGUCUGUCAUAAGCCACUACAGUGAGAGCAGUUUUGUGGAAGGGAAAGCUGAUUAUUAUUGCCUGAUCCUGAGGCUGGCUCUGAAUAUGGACUUCACGCAUAAUUCCAGACGGCUCAAGGUCAAAAAGGUUAAGUGGGAGGUCGGGGCCUCGUAUCAGUGACUGGUGCCAAAUCUGAGAUUCUGGCCAAAAGAACGAAAGAAGUAGCAGAUUAAAAUCCGGCGUGCAGGCCAGGAAACAUUUGCAAGUCGACUGAUGUAGAGAGGAGCCAGUGUCCGCAACGUGUCCUUGCCGCAUGGAGAAAAUGAAAUGAAAACAGGCUGCUGACUUUCUUUCUGCCACUGCUCUCUGUGCACAGAUGACCCCCUCGGAAGCCUGGAGAACAGGACAGGAUUGGAGGACCACGUUCUCCUGGAGCCUGGGCUCGGGUACAGUGUGGAAGCUGGUCCUCCUGGCCAGGGAGACCUCCUGAGCAGCAUGCUACCUUCCUCCUCGGUGCCAGAGUUGAUGACAAUUAGUAAGUUGCUGAGUCUCCUCCGCCAAUGCCGGCUUGUCCAUAUUUUGGCUGACCAUUUCCGUCUUGGCUCUCGUGUCUUCGGAACUCUGUGGAAGCUUGCCGUUAUUACUGCCACCGUUGCAAUUUGUGCAUGUCUUAUUUACCUCUGGAGAGUUGUCCUUGCUACAGAGCCUCCAGUAUAUCCAGUUAAUGUACAGCAAAAAACUGCAAAGAGCAACACGUUGGAGAAAGAAAACACAGAGCUGGCUGAAGCAAUAUCCAUGUGGGAACAGAAGAUACAUCUUCAAGAAGCUAAGAGAGAAAGUAACAUUCACUCUGCUGAAGCUCUUAAGUUGAAAUCAGAAGAUGCAAACGGUCAGUUGGAGGAACUGAGAGCCUGGAGGUCCAAUAAACGUGCACUGGAAGCAAGGAUAAAGGACGUGGAAGACAUUCGUAAUGCUUUGAGUUCUACUAAAGCAAUCAGGGAAGAAACAGCCAAAAGCCUGAAGGAGAGAGGAGACGUCCUUGAUGAAUUCUAUGAAGAAAGAAAAAUGGCUACAGCAAAGAAUCUGGAUAUGACAAACUGUGAACUAGUGGCAAUGAAGAAUCAGAUGGCAACUGCAGAGGAAAAUCUGAAAAAAGCUACAAGGGACAUAGACAAGUGCAAACAGGAAAUUGAACAAACACGAGAACAGCUGCAGAAGGCAGAACUCACCUUCACACACCAGGUCGCAGUUUAUGAGCGUAAUGCUGCGGAAAACUGGAUCAAGACUCAGAUCUGGGAGACGAAAAUGGCGGGACAGAGCCGGGAGAUCGCCCGCUUGAAAUACAGACUGGAUGGGAUGGAAGGAAAGAGGCUGCUUGAGGGAUACAGGAGGCGGAGAACAAUGCCUGGAAGUCCAGAGACGCAGAACCCUCUGAGGAGAGGGUCCUUAGCAGAUCCAGAAACUGGUGCAACCUCUGUGAGUUACAGCAGCUCUGACUGUACGAAGAAUGCAGACAAGGACAAGCUGCCAGCUGAUUCUUCUUUGCUGCCAGUUCACACUGUGUCAUUUUCAGCUUCCUAAGAUGGGAAAGACAUAUACACAGUCCAGGAGCCAAGGUCCACAAAUUCUGCCUUUUUACCUCCCAGCACUCUUGAAGGCCUAGAUACAAAUACCUUUCCCCCACCUCUCCCAUAAAUGCACAGACUGACAACACAGUCAGAGAAAUGAACUGAACACCCCAUUUAAGUUAAAGAAAAUUCAACCUCUGUCUGCUGCCAUGUCUCUGCUGUCAGACCUGUUUCCUCUCCUUCAUCAUAAAAUCAUCAAAUAACAUUGCACUUUGUGCCUUCCCAGAGCUGGACUUUGGUUUGAGAUGGUGAAGGCUCAUUUCAGUUCAGUGUCAAAAACCUUGUCUGACCACCCAUACCCAUUAGGAUGAAGCAAGGGAUCAUCACUAGUCUCACACCUCCGUGGGGAGCCCUGAUUCUCAGUCCAGAAGUUGUACCCUGACAAAGACAAUCACCCUAAAAGACGACCUUCCAGGAUAUGGCUUCCCCAACAUUGCAGCUCACUCCCAGACAUUGCUAGAGUCAGGAGUACAACCCCUGCGUCCACCUUCACAUAUCCUGGUGGAGGAAAAGGCCAAUCUUAGAGCAGCAACAUCACCUGAGGUAGAACCUGAUAUGAACUGUCACACAGUCUGGGUUUAUCUCCAGGAAACAGAUUUCAGAUGGAAAACUAUCAACUUCAUGAAGCCAAUGUACUUGAAGAAGACUCAGUUCAUUGACAGUGAAGGCAGCAAAGGGAAAUGCUUAGAAAGGCUGGUUUGCUGUGUUGCUCUCAGACUAUUUUGUUCAUGGUGUUACUUUAAAGGGUUUCAACUUGGUACUGGAUGUAUUCAAGAGUCACAUGCAAAAUUGAAAGACUCCUAGAAACGGACACAAAACCUCUAGACAGAGAAAGGCACAUGCAUUUCCUUCCGGCAUCUCAGGCAGUCCUUCAACAAAUGCUUUCUGGAGUGGCUGGAAUGUAGUGGUUCUGUUGUAAGGGAUUGAAAAUAGAAAGGUGGCCAGGGUGCUGUACGUGCUCCCCAAAAGAGCUUAGAAAUGAUAAAAACAAGAUGCCAGUGAGACAGAGCAGGCUCCACCCCAGGUGUGGGAAGGACUAACAGAAGCUGAGUCUCCAGGGAAGAGAAGGAAGUAUUUCCUUUUCAAUGUGAAUGAGGGACUCUAAAGGCCCUGAUCUCCUCCUGAGAACAAAAGGAAAUACUGUACAAAGGAGGAAACAUGUGAGCGAAUGCACCACAUUUCUAAUGACCCCAUGAAGACACAUGUGACCAAGAUGGAGAAGAAGGAAGCCCAGGACAAAGCCAGCCUGGCAGUGGGAACCAAUCUCCCCAGGACUCAUCAAUGAACUUGGGGAUAGAAAACUGAACUGCAAAAUAGCUGAACAACUUUAUGGGCACAGACUUAGAAGGAAACGUGUUUAGUUCAGAGGCAGCCAGCAAAGAUGAGCCCUGGUGAAGCUGCGGGCUUUGGUCAAGACUCAGAAGAGUUACACUUCAAAAAUCGGGGGACAGGAAAUAACUCAGCUUCCUUAGGGAUUGGCCUGCUGUGAACAAUCUCACUAGCAGAACUGAUGCAGGGAUCCAGUACUACUGGCACCCCUACCCCCUUUCCAGAAAUAAAUUUCUGUGGUUUCUGCAGCAAAAUCAUUGAUUUUUCCCCUACACAUUCUUGACCCAUGUGUGGUCCUGAACAAAAAUGACCUAAUUCCUGGAUGACAAGACAACGUGAUGGGACUGAAUCCCAAGCAGAUACAGAUAUCAAUGUUAUUAAUGCUGAUACCUUCCCUCUUCCACCCCAAAUACAUGACACAAUAUGUGACAAGCACUUAGGACAGAAAGGAAAAUGCGGGUGACAGAAAGCCAGGAAUAAUAUUGAACAUUCAAGAAACGGGCGGUUCCCGACACAACAUACCUGUCAGGUUUCCAGUUGUUUCCAACGACUACAACAUUGUUGGGAAAAAAUCCCCACUGAAAGUUCAUAAAAGCAUGUGCGAUGUGGAGGGCACAUUGUGUUUUCACCUCUGGCUCUGGUUCCAGCAGGACUCGGAGAGUGGGUCUCAGCUCCUUCUUCUAGAAGGUCCUGAGAGUCAACAUUUGGCGGCUUCACUUCCCAACUGAAUGCGCCUCCUGUUCCUCCGAAUUUGUGUCAGGAUUUCUCCCCCGAAAGAGGCCUGACCUGGAACAAACCAACCCCAGCCUCUCUGACAUGGCGUCACGGGACCCCAUGAAUCCACGGAUCCUCCAGGGAAAUACCUGCAGGGGAAAUGAGGAACAAACCACGGAACAGCCCAGAAAAAGCGAGGGACUGUGCCGCCAACCCACCACCCGCGCUUCCGGGGAAGCCGCCCAGGCCCUGCCUCCCCCGCCUCGGGACUCAGCCCCACCACCUAGGAGACACCAAGGGGCUGCGAAGCCUCCAGGGUCUCCCCCAGGCCCGGGGGUGGAACCUGCUGGAAACACAGCUCUGGCUCUUUGCCCACACUCAGAGGCACUGGGUCCUCAGAAGCAAGGAAGCCUUCCCAGCCCCGAGGCGCCCUGGAUCAGAAAAGCCUAGUGGGCGCCUUCUCAGGCCAUCACUGGCCACUCAGAGGCCCGGCCCCUCCCUGGGAGUGGUGCAUGCGUGCCCUCUGCCGGCCGCGGUGGGAAUUCCGCAAUGCUCAAGGCCAUGGCUGCUCAGCUGGAAGUACUGAGAGUGCAGCUGGUCCAGUGAAGCCUGUUCUCCUGAUCGGGAAGGGUCUUACCAAAGGGCUUGCUUGGGACACAAAGAAACGUUUUCCUUCUCCUUUUUACUGAGUGAAAAAUGAAACCGAUUUUAUUGACAUAAUGAUAUCAUGUGUAAUGCUUUUAGCAGCUUUUGCAGAAAUACAGACACCUGCUGACCUACAGGUUAUGGUGUUUAGCACCAUAAUACUUGGGUUAAAUAAAAAAGUUGACACCUCUGAGAAAGAGAUACAGGCUUCCAGCUAUGGAAUGAAUAACUCAUUGGGAUCCAAGGUACAGCCCAUAGAAUAGCGUCAAUCCUGUAAGAAAGCGUUGCAGGCUUUCACAAUAUAGCUACCCUUAGGUACCUGGAGAGCGUAAUGUAUACACACGGAAUCACCAUGAUAUAUGCCUGAAACUGAUACAACAUGGUGAGUCUCCUAUAUUUCAAUUAAAAAUGACAAAAUUUUUAAUUUCUCCUUCACCAUUAAAAAUUAUUUCUAAUUGAGAA